Molecule: ribosomal RNA, 94 nt
Filed under: Oncidium harryanum
Lineage: Eukaryota; Viridiplantae; Streptophyta; Magnoliopsida; Asparagales; Orchidaceae
Description: 5.8S ribosomal RNA
Rfam family: 5.8S ribosomal RNA
About the family: 5.8S ribosomal RNA (5.8S rRNA) is a component of the large subunit of the eukaryotic ribosome. It is transcribed by RNA polymerase I as part of the 45S precursor that also contains 18S and 28S rRNA.
Source: RNAcentral
GACAYGACUCUCGGCAAUGGAUAUCUCGGCUCUUGCAUCGAUGAAGAGCGCAGCGAAAUGCGAUACGUGGUGYGAAUUGCAGAAUCCCGCGAAC